CCUACGGGUGGCAGCAGUGAGGAAUAUUGGUCAAUGGGCGGAAGCCUGAACCAGCCAAGUAGCGUGCAGGAUGACGGCCCUACGGGUUGUAAACUGCUUUUAUACGGGAAUAACGCGCCUUACGUGUAUGGCUUUGCAUGUACCGUAUGAAUAAGGACCGGCUAAUUCCGUGCCAGCAGCCGCGGUAAUACGGAAGGUCCGGUCGUUAUCCGGAUUUAUUGGGUUUAAAGGGAGCGUAGUCCGCAGUUCAAUCGUGCUGUGAAAUGUCCGGGCUCAACCCGGGACUUGCAGAGGGAACUGGCGUGCUUGAGUACGCGGAAAGCAGGCGGAAU
RNAcentral lists this ribosomal RNA (332 nucleotides) under uncultured bacterium. RNAcentral's name for it is "partial 16S ribosomal RNA". It matches the Rfam family "Bacterial small subunit ribosomal RNA", at positions 338 to 667 of the family's 1533-position model. The record is from RNAcentral.